CACGUAGGCGGCACCGUCAGUCCGAUGUGAAAGCCCUGGGCUUAACCUGGGAACUGCAUUGGAUACUGCGGCGCUAGAAUGUGAAAGAGGGGAGUGGAAUUCCAGGUGUAGCGGUGAAAUGCGUAGAGAUCUGGAGGAACACCAGUGGCGAAGGCGGCUCCCUGGUUCAACAUUGACGCUGAGGUGCGAAAGCGUGGGUAGCAAACA
Molecule: ribosomal RNA, 207 nt
Filed under: uncultured bacterium
Lineage: Bacteria
Description: partial 16S ribosomal RNA
Rfam family: Bacterial small subunit ribosomal RNA
Source: RNAcentral